Molecule: ribosomal RNA, 368 nt
Filed under: uncultured bacterium
Lineage: Bacteria
Description: partial 16S ribosomal RNA
Rfam family: Bacterial small subunit ribosomal RNA
Source: RNAcentral
UGGGGAAUAUUGCACAAUGGGCGAAAGCCUGAUGCAGCGACGCCGCGUGCGGGAUGAAGGCCUUCGGGUUGUAAACCGCUUUUAAUUGGGAGCAAGCGAGAGCGAGUGUACCUUUUGAAUAAGCACCGGCUAACUACGUGCCAGCAGCCGCGGUAAUACGUAGGGUGCAAGCGUUAUCCGGAAUUAUUGGGCGUAAAGAGCUCGUAGGCGGUUUGUCACGCCUGGUGUGAAAGUCCAUCGCUUAACGGUGGAUCUGCGCCGGGUACGGGCAGGCUAGAGUGCAGUAGGGGAGAUUGGAAUUCCCGGUGUAACGGUGGAAUGUGUAGAUAUCGGGAAGAACACCAAUGGCGAAGGCAGAUCUCUGGGCU